RNAcentral lists this long non-coding RNA (410 nucleotides) under Vitis vinifera (wine grape). RNAcentral's name for it is "long non-coding RNA (VVIN_LNC002125)". Lineage: Eukaryota; Viridiplantae; Streptophyta; Magnoliopsida; Vitales; Vitaceae. The record is from RNAcentral.
GUGGUUGCACAAACAUCUGGAGUCGUGGGGUACACAUAUUCUUCCACCGAAUAUGCUGGUACUGGCUCAAAUGCUGUUCCUGAUGCUGGUGCCUUUGCAGCUGUAGAUACCAGAACUUUAGCUGGAUCUGCUGCUCCUACAGAUGCAGCAUAUUCUCUGACUGAUGGUUCAAAUUUAGGUGAGGGGAACACAUAUGGCACAGAUCCAAAUACUGUUAUGCAAGAGGCCCCUGGUAGUAUAACCUAUGAGGCUAGUGCUGGUACAACUGAGACUAGCUCGAAUCUUGCAGCUGCUGAGUUGUCUCAAGCUGCUGGUUAUGACUCAUCUGUAAAUGGAAAUGCUAUUACUGAAGCCAGGAAUUUCCCUUCUGUUGACAAUGGAAAUGCUUCUGAUGUUGGUGGAGCUGCUGU